Molecule: ribosomal RNA, 497 nt
Filed under: uncultured bacterium
Lineage: Bacteria
Description: partial 16S ribosomal RNA
Rfam family: Bacterial small subunit ribosomal RNA
Source: RNAcentral
GAUGAACGCUGGCGGCGUGCCUAAUACAUGCAAGUCGAGCGAACAGACGAGGAGCUUGCUCCUCUGACGUUAGCGGCGGACGGGUGAGUAACACGUGGAUAACCUACCUAUAAGACUUGGAUAAAUUCGGGAAACCGGAGCUAAUACCGGAUAAUAUAUUGAACCGCAUGGUUCAAUAGUGAAAGACGGUUUUGCUGUCACUUAUAGAUGGAUCCGCGCCGCAUUAGCUAGUUGGUAAGGUAACGGCUUACCAAGGCGACGAUGGGUAGCCGACCUGAGAGGGUGAUCGGCCACACUGGAACUGAGACACGGUCCAGACUCCUACGGGAGGCAGCAGUAGGGAAUCUUCCGCAAUGGGCGAAAGCCUGACGGAGCAACGCCGCGUGAGUGAUGAAGGUCUUCGGAUCGUAAAACUCUGUUAUUAGGGAAGAACAAAUGUGUAAGUAACUAUGCACGUCUUGACGGUACCUAAUCAGAAAGCCACGGCUAACUACGUG